This 242-nucleotide long non-coding RNA is filed under the name Marmota monax (woodchuck). Lineage: Eukaryota; Metazoa; Chordata; Mammalia; Rodentia; Sciuridae. The record is from RNAcentral.
AGGGCAUCUAGGUUGGUUCCACAGUUUAGCUAUUGUGAAUUGUGCUGUUAUAAACAUUGAUGUGGCUGUGUCCCUGUAGUAUGCUGUUUUUAAGUCCUUUGGGUAUAGACCAAGGAGAGGGACAGCUGGGUCAAAUGGUGGUUCCAUUCCCAAUUUUCCAAGAAAUCUCCAUACUGCUUUCCAUAUUGGCUGCACCAAUUUUCAGUCCCAUCAGCAGUGUAUGCGUGUGCCUUUUUCCCCAC